CGAAGGGAGAGAAUUGCAGAGAGAAUGAAGGCCCUGCAGGAACUGGUUCCCAAUGGCAACAAGACAGACAAGGCUUCGAUGCUAGAUGAGAUCAUCGACUAUGUCAAAUUCCUACAGCUUCAAGUCAAGGUUCUGAGCAUGAGCAGAUUGGGCGGUGCAGCUGCUGUUGCUCCCCUCGUAGCUGAUAUGUCAUCCGAGGGACGAGGAGGAGCCGGAGGUGGCGGCGACUGUAUUCAGGCCACUGCUAAUGGUGGGUCCCUUCC
RNAcentral lists this unclassified non-coding RNA (263 nucleotides) under Hevea brasiliensis (rubber tree). Lineage: Eukaryota; Viridiplantae; Streptophyta; Magnoliopsida; Malpighiales; Euphorbiaceae. The record is from RNAcentral.